AAACUCAACAGCCUAAAUAUCUCUGAAAACUGCAUCGCAAAAUGGAAGAAAGAGGGGGUCCCACUACUGUUUCAAAAGAGAGCCAUGGAAGUCAAAUGCUGAGGAUGGUGGCAUCAUAGGAUGAAUGGAGCUGGGUUCUUGAAACACUGCCUGGAGGAAAGACAGCAAAAAUGCCUCAUGAAUCCAACUGGACUGUUAGGAUGCUCACCCUUGGAGACCAGCAACAAUGUGUGCAGAAACCCAGGCCAUGUGGAGAGGCCCCACAUACGUGUCCAACUGAGGUCCCAGCUGACAGCUGGCAUUGACAUGUGAGUGAGACUCUGAACGUUCCAGCUGAUGACAAGUACAGUUUGAGCGAGCUAUCCCUGUUGGGCCUGUCAAAACUGCAGAUUUCAUGAAGAAAAUAAGUGUUGUUGACUUAAGCCAGUAAGUUUUGACAUACUAUGUUACACA
RNAcentral lists this long non-coding RNA (453 nucleotides) under Homo sapiens (human). RNAcentral's name for it is "non-protein coding SNAP25-AS1:8". The record is from RNAcentral. Lineage: Eukaryota; Metazoa; Chordata; Mammalia; Primates; Hominidae.